This 314-nucleotide ribosomal RNA is filed under the name uncultured eukaryote. Its description in RNAcentral is "partial 18S ribosomal RNA". It matches the Rfam family "Eukaryotic small subunit ribosomal RNA", at positions 1470 to 1796 of the family's 1831-position model. The record is from RNAcentral.
CCCCUAGAUGUUCUGGGCCGCACGCGCGCUACACUGAACAGUUCAACAAGUCUUAACCUUGGCCGAUAGGUCUGGGUAAUCUUUGAACGCUGUUCGUGAUUGGGAUAGACCUUUGCAAUUAUGGGUCUUCAACGAGGAAUUCCUAGUAAACGCAAGUCAUCAGCUUGCAUUGAUUACGUCCCUGCCCUUUGUACACACCGCCCGUCGCACCUACCGAUUGAAUGGUCCGGUGAAGCCUCCGGAUUGGCGCGCACCUCGGUGCCGCCGAGAAGUUGGCUAAACCUUACCAUUUAGAGGAAGGUGAANUCGUAACA